RNAcentral lists this transfer-messenger RNA (370 nucleotides) under Ruania alba. RNAcentral describes it as "Standard tmRNA". It matches the Rfam family "transfer-messenger RNA". Rfam says of the family: Bacterial tmRNA, also known as 10Sa RNA or SsrA, is named for its dual tRNA and mRNA-like properties. Its role is to liberate the mRNA from a stalled ribosome. To accomplish this part of the tmRNA is used as a reading frame that ends in a translation stop signal. The record is from RNAcentral. Lineage: Bacteria; Bacillati; Actinomycetota; Actinomycetes; Micrococcales; Ruaniaceae.
GGGGGUGAUCGGUUUCGACGACGGUUGUCGUUCCAGGAGAAGCGGGUCGAGGAUGCAAGGUCAUCUCGUCAAACGCUCCUUGCAAACCAAUAGGUGCCGAUUCCAAGCGCACCGACUUCGCCCUCGCCGCCUGAGCGAGCGUAGAAGUCCGUCAGCCCGGGGUUGCUCUCGACCCGGUUCCUGGCGUCAUCUAGAGAGCCACUGCUCGUAACCCUCGUCAUCGGGGUUGCGGGGACUUUUAGGUGACUGAGCCCGUCAGCGACUUGUCUGCGUGAUCGCUGGGGCCGAGAAAAUCUACUAGCAGACUGCACCCGGAGAAGUCCUGGUUCCGCACUGUCGGACGCGGGUUCGAUUCCCGCCACCUCCACCA